Molecule: ribosomal RNA, 348 nt
Filed under: uncultured Desulfovibrio sp.
Lineage: Bacteria; Pseudomonadati; Thermodesulfobacteriota; Desulfovibrionia; Desulfovibrionales; Desulfovibrionaceae
Description: bacterial SSU rRNA
Rfam family: Bacterial small subunit ribosomal RNA
Source: RNAcentral
GACAGGUGCUGCAUGGCUGUCGUCAGCUCGUGCCGUGAGGUGUUGGGUAAGUCCCGCAACGAGCGCAACCCCUAUUGCCAGUUGCUACCAGGUAAUGCUGGGCACUCUGGUGAGACUGCCCGGUUAACGGGGAGGAAGGUGGGGACGACGUCAAGUCAUCAUGGCCCUUACGCCUAGGGCUACACACGUACUACAAUGGCGCAUACAAAGGGCAGCGAUACCGCGAGGUGGAGCCAAUCCCAAAAAGUGCGUCCCAGUCCGGAUUGCAGUCUGCAACUCGACUGCAUGAAGUUGGAAUCGCUAGUAAUUCGAGAUCAGCAUGCUCGGGUGAAUGCGUUCCCGGGCCUU